RNAcentral lists this ribosomal RNA (468 nucleotides) under uncultured bacterium. RNAcentral's name for it is "partial 16S ribosomal RNA". It matches the Rfam family "Bacterial small subunit ribosomal RNA", at positions 28 to 507 of the family's 1533-position model. The record is from RNAcentral.
GACGAACGCUGGCGGCGUGCUUAACACAUGCAAGUCGAACGGAAAGGCCCUGCUUUUGUGGGUUGCUCGAGUGGCGAACGGGUGAGUAACACGUGAGUAACCUGCCCUUGACUUUGGGAUAACUUCAGGAAACUGGGGCUAAUACCGGAUAGGAGCUCCUGCUGCAUGGUGGGGGUUGGAAAGUUUCGGCGGUUGGGGAUGGACUCGCGGCGUAUCAGCUUGUUGGUGGGGUAGUGGCUUACCAAGGCUUUGACGGGUAGCCGGCCUGGGGGGGUGAGCGGCCACAUUGGGACUGAGAUACGGCCCAGACUCCUACGGGAGGCAGCAGUGGGGAAUAUUGCACAAUGGGCGGAAGCCUGAUGCAGCAACGCCGCGUGCGGGAUGACGGCCUUCGGGUUGUAAACCGCUUUCGCCUGUGACGGAGCGUGAGUGACGGUAAUGGGUAAAGAAGCACCGGCUAACUACGUG